AGCGAACGCUGGCGGCAGGCCUAACACAUGCAAGUCGAACGAACCUUUCGGGGUUAGUGGCGGACGGGUGAGUAACACGUGGGAACGUGCCUUUAGGUUCGGAAUAACUCAGGGAAACUUGUGCUAAUACCGAAUGUGCCCUUCGGGGGAAAGAUUUAUCGCCUUUAGAGCGGCCCGCGUCUGAUUAGCUAGUUGGUUGAGGUAAUGGCUCACCAAGGCGACGAUCAGUAGCUGGUCUGAGAGGAUGAUCAGCCACAUUGGGACUGAGACACGGCCCAAACCUCUACGGGAGGGAGCAGUGGGGGAACUUGCGCAAUUGGCCGAAGCCCGACCGCGCCAUUGCGCGUGGAAUGAUGAAGUCUUUGGAUUGUAAAAUUCUUUCACCGGGGACGAUAAUGACGGUACCCGGAGAAGAAGCCCCGGCUAACUUCGUG
Molecule: ribosomal RNA, 434 nt
Filed under: uncultured bacterium
Lineage: Bacteria
Description: partial 16S ribosomal RNA
Rfam family: Bacterial small subunit ribosomal RNA
Source: RNAcentral